UAAUACAGGGGGUGCAAACGUUGCUCGGAAUUAUUGGGCGUAAAGCGCGCGUAGGCGGCUACUUAAGUCGGAUGUGAAAGCCCUUGGCUCAACUGAGGAAGUGCACCCGAAACUGAGUGGCUUGAGUACUAAAGAGGGUCGCGGAAUUCCCGGUGUAGAGGUGAAAUUCGUAGAUAUCGGGAGGAACACCGGUGGCGAAGGCGGCGACCUGGGUAGAUACUGACGCUGAGGCGCGAAAGCGUGGGGAGCAAACAGGAUUAGAUACCCUGGUAGUCCACGCCGUAAACGAUGGGUGCUAGAUGUUUCUGGUAUUGACCCCGGAGGCGUCGUAGCUAACGCGUUAAGCACCCCGCCUGGGAAGUACGGCCGCAAGGCUA
This 377-nucleotide ribosomal RNA is filed under the name uncultured bacterium. RNAcentral describes it as "bacterial SSU rRNA". It matches the Rfam family "Bacterial small subunit ribosomal RNA", at positions 521 to 896 of the family's 1533-position model. The record is from RNAcentral.